Long non-coding RNA from Cavia porcellus (domestic guinea pig), 3610 nucleotides. RefSeq lists it as uncharacterized. The transcript is spliced from 3 exons. Lineage: Eukaryota; Metazoa; Chordata; Mammalia; Rodentia; Caviidae. The record is from RefSeq and is a predicted model, not a curated record.
UGGCGGUUAGAGGAUGUAAGGAUCUUUAAAUGCAAAAAGCUGCUAGCAGAUGGAGGAAAUGAAGCUGAUGGUACUUGAGAAUCUUAUUUUAUUUUCUAGGGUUUAUGGAGAAACCUGGGACUUUCAGCAGCUCUAUCACUCCCGGGAGCUACCCUCCAGAUGGUGUAGGCAGUUCAAUGAGUUUCUGAUUUUUGCGACCAAGAACAUGUGGCAAAUCAAGUUGAUAAAGUACCCUUGCUUUACCCAAUCUUCCAUCCAUGACUACUACACAUACCACCAAUACUACAGUUCUUGUUCCUGUGUGUGAAUGCUAACAUUUUUCUAAGUAUGGUGGCAGAAAUAAUUUUACUUACACCACCCAGAAAAGAAUCUCUGCUGAAUAGAUAGUUAAGACUUGGACAAAAGAAUAGUAUACAAAGAGAAAAGAAAAAAGAAAGAAAGAAAAAAAGAAACCAAAGGCCUGAAAGGAAAUUGGUAAGCCAGAAUUGGUUUAACAUUUAAUUUCAUAGAAUUUUUAAGGGAAAAAGAUACUAAAUAAUGACAUAUAUGGUAAUAUCUAUUUUAUUAAUGCCUGAACAUAAAAAAUUUAUACUUUCUACUUUCGCCCCAAUAUAAUACUUUUAGUCCUCCUAAUUCAAGUGGAUCUUAUUAUCUCUUUUAGACAAGAACAAAGAUAAUUAAGUACAGUUAGUUAUUAAUAACAGGAGAUACCUGAAACAGGUGACAUCUUAGAACAUCACGUUAAAAAGAAUUAUUUUAAAACGGAAAAGGCAGGACUCCAGUUUAGCUGUGCUUACGUGUAAAGCCUAAUUGCCACGCUGAAUUCAGCUCAGUAUUUGUAAACUGGCUUGAACACCUUUCUUCCAUUUCACCUGAAAGGAAUGGUGUCAGAUAGUAGAAAGUAAGCAUGGGCAGUUCGACUUGUGUACUAAAUUUUAUUGAGAAUAUUCUUUUUCACAGCCUACAAAAAUCACCACAUCUAAAAUUAUUUUUAGGUUGAAAUCUGAACUCAUCAUUCUUGUGAAGGCUUCAUUCAUUCAUUCAUUCAUUCAUUCAUUCAGUUUACUAUCUGCAGGCAUUGUGAUAGACAAUAGGAUACAACCAUGGAUCCUCUAGGAGCAUCCUGGAGUGUACCAGUAGAGGAUACACUCAAACAAGCCAUUAUCUGUUGACUACAGUGAUAGGUGACUAACGAAAGUGAUCCCAAAAAAUGACUUGAAGGAUGCAGGCAAAGAAGGGGCAGGACAGGAACUCAUAUUUGUUAGAAGAUCAACUAUUUAAAGUCUAGGUGUUUCAUGUAUGUAUAUUACUUAAUUCUAACAAGAACUCUAUGAAAUACACAUAUGAUAACAUUUUACCGAUUAAAGAGUACAGACUGAGAUGUUCAGCUUGUACUUGUCCCACGGUAAAAUUGAGUUACAGUUCUUGACCCCAAAGUUCUUUUUUCCUUCCAUUGCAUCUAGGUGCUUCCUGUGACAAUGAUCUUGUGGUUUCAGUUUGCAGUCUUGGCACAGAAAGGUGCCAGAAAAAAAUCACUUAAUCAUGUUCAAGCUAAAUUGUAUAAAACAUAUUUCUACCCAUAGUUAUCACACAUUAAAUGAAAUUUAAAUUAAUUUAGUCCAGCAAAUACUACAGGUAGAUAAUUUAUUUUAUAUGUGUCUUGGUCCCUCCCUCCAAAACAUAGGGAUAUUAGUGUAUAUACCUCUUCAGUGUCCUAAAUGAGAUUAUCUGUAUUUAUAUAACAUGCAUAACAAUUCAGAGUAAGUGUUCAGUAAAUGUUAGUAAUUAUUAUUAUUAAUAUUUGUGUCUUGUUGGCAUUUAUCUUUUCAAGCUGACAAAUGAGAAAGUAUUUUAACUGAAAGCUGCUAUGCAUCAUCAGUGGGGCUUCAGUCUGGAUAAAUGAUAGUUUUUAAGCUUGUGUUUAUUCUCUUUUCAAACCUGAUUAUUGGGUGUUUUAGUGGUGUUUCAGGAAAGACUCACAAACACAAUUAAAUUGAAUACAAAGUGCUAAUAGAUGCAAAAAUCUAUGAAUAUUCUGAUUCUUAAAAGUCAUUUAUGGUAAGUUAAACAUUAUGUAUUGGAUUUGGAAAAUCUAUCUCUAUAUUGCCAAAUGUAAACUCCAAAACAGACUUGGUACUGUGCCUGCCUAAUAUUAGGAUUAUAAGACAGUGUGAAAGAAGAGGAAGGGAUAACGAACUUAAGUUUUCUUCACCACAUUUGACAGAAAAAGUGAGGUGACAAGAGAAUGCACAUAUGCCAUUUAAAUUAAAACCACUACAUUAAUUCAUAGCUGUAAAUGAAACAAAACAGUUUGUACACUGCUCAUUUAUAAUUGUGGAGAUUUGGGAAAAAAAAAAAAAAGCAAUAGGCAACAGUUUAGGUGACCUGAUUCCUGAUGCCAUCAACAAACAUUUAUGGGGCGGGAUAGGUUAAAAGCAGAGAAUCUUGGCUGGAGUCUGACUCUGCCAUCUGACUGUGCUGGAAUUUGCAGACAUCCUAUAAAUAGUGGUUGACUGUGUAAUCAUGAGGAAGUCAUUUAACCUCUGUUAUCUUACCUUGGUUUUCAUGAGGAUUAACUCAUAUAACAUUGCCAAAGUACUUACAGGCUUCCUGGUUUAUACUUAGCUCUUCAUAUAUACUACCUGUUUUUGGAAAUAUAUUUUGGAGAUCCUUUACCACACUGGAAGCCAGGACCACAAAUAUAAUUAGAUACAACACUAACACAGAUGAUAAGCAAUAUGGUUAAAGUGGUUAGUGUUAAGUGAAGUGGGUAAAAGAGCGAGGGAAAACCGAAAACACACUUCACAGUGCUGAGAGAAGCUAAUAAAUAUUUCUAGAAAUCGAGACGUGUGCUGCAGGCAGCAAGUGCUAGAGAGGAGGUGCAUUCUAACAUAUGUCCCUGUGAGGUGCAGUAGCCUGUUUGAUGCCAGGAGAGUCGCUUUUCUUCUCUUUACUAAAAUCCCUGGUGUGUGAAAAGGGCAGGUUGAAUUAGCCAUGUCAAGUCUCCUCCUGCCUCAAUAUUUGGUGAUUCUCUGUAACUCUAAGUGAGGCUUUUUAUGGCUGAAAUAGGAUACUGAAGGCUGCCUGGGCGAUGGAAAAAAUAUCUCUUGGCAGAGGAGGGGAGAAGGCAGAAGUCAUAAGUCCCAGAAGCUGUAGAAAAAGGGAUAAAACAGGUUCAAAUGACAGGGAUUGAGGUAAAGAUACAGUGGAGCUGAGGAAGCCUUGUCCCAAGGACGGUGCAGAUGACUGUGAACUUUUCUUCUUCAUACUCCAUUUCUUCACACUGACAGUGUAACUUUGUCCCGUGUUAAAGUCUGACAGUGUGGCUUGAUCCGUUCUUCCUGUACUUGUUAGACUUCCUGUACUUGUACUUCUAGACAAUAAGGCAUCAUUAAGACCUGUCCUCUGUGCCUUGCACACUGCUUAUACUUUCCUUCCACAGAGAAAGCAUGGCAGAACACAAAACCAUGCUGACUUGUAUGCUGGUGACUUUGAUUUGGUCUUUUCAAAAAGCUGAUCAUGAACUGCAAGAAGACAGAAAGGAGAAGAAAAAUGGAAAAUAUCAAAGCUUUGAGUAUAAGAAUUUUAAACCAGGUUCCGACAUUUAUUA